This 23-nucleotide non-coding RNA is filed under the name Arabidopsis thaliana (thale cress). Lineage: Eukaryota; Viridiplantae; Streptophyta; Magnoliopsida; Brassicales; Brassicaceae. The record is from RNAcentral.
AGCCCAACAAGAAAACUCUUAGG